GCAAGUGUGGUGAAAUAGGCAGACACACAGGACUUAAAAUCCUGCGGGCGUUAAAACCCAUGCCGGUUCGAGUCCGUCCACUUGCA
This 86-nucleotide transfer RNA is filed under the name Fonticella tunisiensis. It matches the Rfam family "tRNA". Rfam says of the family: Transfer RNA (tRNA) molecules are approximately 80 nucleotides in length. Their secondary structure includes four short double-helical elements and three loops (D, anti-codon, and T loops). The record is from Rfam by way of RNAcentral. Lineage: Bacteria; Bacillati; Bacillota; Clostridia; Eubacteriales; Clostridiaceae.